UCCACGCCGUAAACGAUGAGAACUAGCUGUCAGGGCCUUUCAGGCUUUGGUGGCGCAGCUAACGCAUUAAGUUCUCCGCCUGGGGAGUACGGUCGCAAGAUUAAAACUCAAAGGAAUUGACGGGGGCCUGCACAAGCGGUGGAGCAUGUGGUUUAAUUCGAAGCAACGCGCAGAACCUUACCAGCGUUUGACAUCCCGAUCGCGGUUACCAGAGAUGGUU
Molecule: ribosomal RNA, 220 nt
Filed under: uncultured bacterium
Lineage: Bacteria
Description: partial 16S ribosomal RNA
Rfam family: Bacterial small subunit ribosomal RNA
Source: RNAcentral